AAAAAAAUUGUUGAAUAUCGCUACAAUCGAUAUGUUUUUGAAAUCUACAACUUAAGAGCAUUCUACUAAUGCAAAAAUCAAUCAAAUCGGAGCAUUUUAAAAAAAUUGUGUAUACAGAGUGAUCCAAAUAAAUUAUUUCAAAAUACAGAGUGAUUCAAAUGACAAAAAAAAAAAAAUUGUUGAAUAUCGCUACAAGCGAUAUGUUUUGAAAUCUACAACUUAAGAGCGUUCUAUAUAUGCAAAAAUCAAUCAAAUCGAAGCAUUUUAAAAAUAUUGUGUAUACAGAGUGAUCCAAAUGAAAAUAUAAAAAUACAGAGUGAUUCAAAUGACAAAAAAAAAAUAAUUGUUGAAUAUCGCUACAAUCGAUAUGUUUUUGAAAUCUACAACUUAAGAGCAUUCUACUAAUGCAAAAAUCAAUCAAAUCGGAGCAUUUUAAAAAAAUUGUGUAUACAGAGUGAUCCAAAUGAAAAAUAUAAAAAUACAGAGGUGAUUCAAAUGACAAAAAAAAAAAAAAAUUGUUCAAUAUAACUACAAUUGAUAUGUUUUUGAAAUCUACAUCUUAAGAGCAUUCCAUACGCAAAAAUCAAUCAAAUCGGAGCAUUUUAAAAAAAUUGUGUAUACAGAGUGAUCCAAAUGAAAAAUAUAAAAAUACAGAGUGAUUCAAAUGACAAAAAAAAAAAAAUUGUUGAAUAUCGCUACAAUCGAUAUGUUUUUGAAAUCUACAACUUAAGAGCAUUCUACUUAUGCAAAAAUCAAUCAAAUCGGAGCAUUUUAUAAAAUUGUGUAUACAGAGUGAUCCAUAUAAAAAAUAUAAAAAUACAGAGUGAUUCAAAUAAAAAAAAAAAAAAAAAUUGUUGAAUAUCGCUACAAUCGAUAUGUUUUUGAAAUCUACAACUUAAGAGCAUUCUACUAAUGCAAAAAUCAAUCAAAUCGGAGCAUUUUAAAAAAAUUGUGUAUACAGAGUGAUCCAAAU
This is a long non-coding RNA of Daktulosphaira vitifoliae (grape phylloxera), 973 nucleotides long. RefSeq lists it as uncharacterized. The record is from RefSeq and is a predicted model, not a curated record. Lineage: Eukaryota; Metazoa; Arthropoda; Insecta; Hemiptera; Phylloxeridae. The transcript is spliced from 2 exons.